CGUGCUAUACAUGCAGUCGAACGCGUCUCCGUUAAUGAUUUUAGGUGCUUGCACUUGAAAGAUUUAACAUUGAGACGAGUGGCGAACUGGUGAGUAACACGUGGGUAACCUGCCCUUGAAGUAGGGGAUAACACUUGGAAACAGGUGCUAAUACCGUAUAACAACCAAAACCACCUGGUUUUGGUUUAAAAGACGGCUUCGGCUGUCACUUUAGGAUGGACCCGCGGCGUAUUAGCUUGUUGGUAAGGUAACGGCUUACCAAGGCGAUGAUACGUAGCCGACCUGAGAGGGUAAUCGGCCACAUUGGGACUGAGACACGGCCCAAACUCCUACGGGAGGCAGCAGUAGGGAAUCUUCCACAAUGGACGAAAGUCUGAUGGAGCAACGCCGCGUGAGUGAUGAAGGGUUUCGGCUCGUAAAACUCUGUUGUUGGAGAAGAACAGGUGUCAGAGUAACUGUUGACAUCUUGACGGUAUCCAACCAGAAAGCCACGGCUAACUACGUGCCAGCAGCCGCGGUAAUACGUAGGUGGCAAGCGUUGUCCGGAUUUAUUGGGCGUAAAGCGAGCGCAGGCGGUUUUUUAGGUCUGAUGUGAAAGCCUUCGGCUUAACCGGAGAAGUGCAUCGGAAACCGGGAGACUUGAGUGCAGAAGAGGACAGUGGAACUCCAUGUGUAGCGGUGAAAUGCGUAGAUAUAUGGAAGAACACCAGUGGCGAAGGCGGCUGUCUGGUCUGUAACUGACGCUGAGGCUCGAAAGCAUGGGUAGCGAACAGGAUUAGAUACCCUGGUAGUCCAUGCCGUAAACGAUGAGUGCUAAGUGUUGGGAGGGUUUCCGCCCUUCAGUGCUGCAGCUAACGCAUUAAGCACUCCGCCUGGGGAGUACGACCGCAAGGUUGAAACUCAAAGGAAUUGACGGGGGCCCGCACAAGCGGUGGAGCAUGUGGUUUAAUUCGAUGCUACGCGAAGAACCUUACCAGGUCUUGACAUCUUCUGCCAACCUAAGAGAUUAGGCGUUCCCUUCGGGGACAGAAUGACAGGUGGUGCAUGGUUGUCGUCAGCUCGUGUCGUGGAAAUGUUUGGGUUAAGUCCCGCAACCAACGCAACCCUUUAUUGUUAGUUGCCAGCAUUCAGUUGGGCACUCUAGCAAGACUGCCCGUGACAAACCCGAGGGAAGGGGGGGGGAUGAACGCCAAAUCAUCAAUGGCCCCUUAUAACCUGGGGUUCACCCUUGGUUUCAAUUGGGGGGUCCCCC
This 1252-nucleotide ribosomal RNA is filed under the name Lentilactobacillus buchneri. Its description in RNAcentral is "bacterial SSU rRNA". It matches the Rfam family "Bacterial small subunit ribosomal RNA", at positions 43 to 1244 of the family's 1533-position model. The record is from RNAcentral. Lineage: Bacteria; Bacillati; Bacillota; Bacilli; Lactobacillales; Lactobacillaceae.